GUGGAUAACCUCCCCCGGGGAUGGGCAUAGCCGUUCUAACGGACGGGUAAUUCCCAGCGAUUCGGUGAGGGGGCAUCUCCUUACCGGGAAAUGAGUUUCGCCUCGGGAGGGGUCCACGUGCUAUUAGCUAGUUGGCGGGGUAACGGCCCACCAAGGCUAAGAUGGCUAGCGGGUGUGAGAGCACGACCCGCGCCACUGGCACUGAGACACUGGCCAGACACCUACGGGUGGCUGCAGUCGAGGAUCUUCGUCAAUGGGCGCAAGCCUGAACGAGCGACGCCGCGUGUGGGAUGAAGGCCUUCGGGUUGUAAACCACUGUCGAGGGGGAGAAAGGCGCAAGCUUGAUCGACCCCUGGAGGAAGGACGGGCUAAGUUCGUGCCAGCAGCCGCGGUAAGACGAACCGUCCUAACGUUGUUCGGAAUCACUGGGCUUAAAGGGCGCGUAGGCGGCCUUGAAAGUCGGGGGUGAAAUCCCACGGCCUAACCGUGGAAGUGCCUCCGAUACUGCAAGGCUC
RNAcentral lists this ribosomal RNA (515 nucleotides) under uncultured Planctomycetota bacterium. Its description in RNAcentral is "bacterial SSU rRNA". It matches the Rfam family "Bacterial small subunit ribosomal RNA", at positions 117 to 643 of the family's 1533-position model. The record is from RNAcentral. Lineage: Bacteria; Pseudomonadati; Planctomycetota.